AUUGAACGCUGGCGGCAUGCCUUACACAUGCAAGUCGAGCGGCAGCGCGGGGGCAACCCUGGCGGCGAGCGGCGCACGGGUGAGUAAUACAUCGGAACGUGUCCUUUCGUGGGGAUAACCAGUCGAAAGACUGGCUAAUACCGCAUGAGAUCUCACGAUGAAAGCGGGGGACCCGAGGGUAACUUCGGGCCUCGCGCGAUUGGAGCGGCCGAUGUCGGAUUAGCUAGUUGGCGGGGUAAAAGCCCACCAAGGCGACGAUCCGUAGCUGGUUUGAGAGAACGACCAGCCACACUGGGACUGAGACACGGCCCAGACUCCUACGGAGGCAGCAGUGGGGAAUUUUGGACAAUGGGGCAACCUGAUCCAGCCAUGCCGCGUGUGUGAAGAAGGCCUGG
RNAcentral lists this ribosomal RNA (395 nucleotides) under uncultured bacterium. Its description in RNAcentral is "bacterial SSU rRNA". It matches the Rfam family "Bacterial small subunit ribosomal RNA", at positions 29 to 419 of the family's 1533-position model. The record is from RNAcentral.